Molecule: ribosomal RNA, 385 nt
Filed under: uncultured bacterium
Lineage: Bacteria
Description: bacterial SSU rRNA
Rfam family: Bacterial small subunit ribosomal RNA
Source: RNAcentral
AUUGAACGCUGGCGGCAUGCUUUACACAUGCAAGUCGAGCGGCAGCGCGGGGCAACCCUGGCGGCGAGCGGCGAACGGGUGAGUAAUGCAUCGGAACGUACCCUGGAGUGGGGGAUAACGCCGCGAAAGCGGCGCUAAUACCGCAUAUGCUCUGAGGAGGAAGGUGGGGGACCGCAAGGCCUCACGCUCUGGGAGCGGCCGAUGUCCGAUUAGCUAGUUGGUGGGGUAAAGGCUUACCAAGGCGACGAUCGGUAGCUGGUCUGAGAGGAUGAUCAGCCACACUGGGACUGAGACACGGCCCAGACUCCUACGGGAGGCAGCAGUGGGGAAUUUUGGACAAUGGGGGCAACCCUGAUCCAGCCAUGCCGCGUGAGUGAAGAAGGCC